This 208-nucleotide ribosomal RNA is filed under the name uncultured bacterium. RNAcentral describes it as "partial 16S ribosomal RNA". It matches the Rfam family "Bacterial small subunit ribosomal RNA", at positions 568 to 775 of the family's 1533-position model. The record is from RNAcentral.
CGCGUAGGCGGUUUGACAAGUCAGAUGUGAAAGCCCCGAGCUUAACUUGGGAAUUGCAUCUGAAACUGUCGAACUUGAGUCCUGGAGGGGGUAGUGGAAUUCCCAGUGUAGCGGUGAAAUGCGUAGAUAUUGGGAGGAACACCGGCGGCGAAGGCGGCUACCUGGACAGUGACUGACGCUGAGGCGCGAAAGCUAGGGGAGCGAACGG